CAGCCGCCGCGGUAAUACAGAGGAUGCAAGCGUUAUCCGGAAUGAUUGGGCGUAAAGUGUCUGUAGGUGGCUUUUCAAGUCCGCCGUCAAAUCCCAGGGCUCAACCCUGGACAGGCGGUGGAAACUACCAAGCUGGAGUAUGGUAGGGGCAGAGGGAAUUUCCGGUGGAGCGGUGAAGUGCGUUGAGAUCGGAAAAAACACCAACGACGAAAGCACUCUGCUGGGCCGACACUGACACUUAGAGACGAAAGCUAGGGGAGCAAAUGGGAUUAGAUACCCCCGUAGUCCCUGUCUCUUAUAC
RNAcentral lists this ribosomal RNA (301 nucleotides) under uncultured bacterium. Its description in RNAcentral is "partial 16S ribosomal RNA". It matches the Rfam family "Bacterial small subunit ribosomal RNA", at positions 509 to 807 of the family's 1533-position model. The record is from RNAcentral.